This is a small nuclear RNA of Chionomys nivalis (European snow vole), 103 nucleotides long. The record is from RefSeq and is a predicted model, not a curated record. NCBI's taxonomy places the organism in Eukaryota, Metazoa, Chordata, Mammalia, Rodentia, Cricetidae.
GCGCUCGCUCUGGCAGCACAUAUACUAAAAUCGGAACGAUCCAAAGAUUAGCACGGCCCUGCGCAAGGAUGGCACGCAGAUUCAUGAAGUGUUCCAUAUUUAA